CGGCGGCGGAACCCAGACCUCGCAGAGAUAGAAACCCCUCCGAGCCUGUAACAUCUUCCCCAGCCCUGCCCUGGCUGGCUGAGGGGGGCUCCUGCCUGCUGGCACCAGAGGAUCACUGGAGAGGAGAGGACCAAGGUACCUGAUGCCCCGUGGAGCCACUGCCCAGCACCUGCCCUGGAGACCUGCAGCCUCCUGAAGGCAGCUGGCAGCACGCUUAGGCACCUGCAAGCAGGGUCCCAUCUCUGCCACACUCACCUUCAGGAGCCCAAGCAGCGGCCUGGCAC
Molecule: long non-coding RNA, 284 nt
Organism: Dryobates pubescens (Downy woodpecker)
Lineage: Eukaryota; Metazoa; Chordata; Aves; Piciformes; Picidae
Exons: 3
Source: RefSeq, a predicted model, not a curated record